This 381-nucleotide RNase P RNA is filed under the name Dehalococcoidia bacterium. Its description in RNAcentral is "RNase P RNA component class A". It matches the Rfam family "Bacterial RNase P class A". From Rfam's summary of the family: Ribonuclease P (RNase P) is a ubiquitous endoribonuclease, found in archaea, bacteria and eukarya as well as chloroplasts and mitochondria. Its best characterised activity is the generation of mature 5'-ends of tRNAs by cleaving the 5'-leader elements of precursor-tRNAs. Cellular RNase Ps are ribonucleoproteins. Lineage: Bacteria; Bacillati; Chloroflexota; Dehalococcoidia. The record is from RNAcentral.
CCAGCAGACCGGGUGACCGCCGGUCCGCCACUGGCGGACGGGAGGAAGGUCCGAGCUCCACCGGGCAGCGCGCUGGGUAACGCCCAGGCGGGGUGACCCGACGGAAAGUGGCACAGAAACAUACCGCCCCGGCUCGCCGGGGUAAGGGUGAAAUGGUGGGGUAAGAGCCCACCGGCUCCGGCGUGAGCCGGAGGCCGGCCAAACCCCGCGCGGAGCAAGGCCAAAUAGGAGGGCUUGCUCGCCGUCAGGCGGGCAUUAGGGCGCCCGGCCCGACGCCCUCGGGUUGGCCGCUUGACCCCGUCGGCAACGGCGGGGCUAGAUUGAUGGUCACCGCCCCGACAUGUCGGGGUACAGGACUCGGCCUACAGGUCUGCUGGGCCU